AAGUCGUAACAAGGUUUCCGUAGGUGAACCUGCGGAAGGAUCAUUAACACGUAUCCACGUAAACCCAUGUGCAGGAUGCCUGUGUGCGAUCUUAGUCAAUGGUGCUAGCGGAGAAAUGGCGGUGACCACCUUACGGGGUGCACUCUUCUAGCUGGACCUUGUACUUACUGCUUCGGCAGUUUGCGCAAGAGAUCCACACCACUUUGACUGAGCAUGCAUGCGUCGCCGUCGAUUAUUUUUUUUUUACGCCUUGUAAAUAAACUGUUCUAAACUAAUAAACAAUGACUAUGGCUUUUCUUCGGAAAGGUUCAGUGUCUUGUUUCUUACUAAAUUUUAUACAAUCCUUAGCAACGGAUAUCUUGGUUCUC
This 368-nucleotide unclassified non-coding RNA is filed under the name fungal sp. RNAcentral's name for it is "partial internal transcribed spacer region". The stretch from base 1 to 46 matches the Rfam family "Eukaryotic small subunit ribosomal RNA", at positions 1786 to 1831 of the family's 1831-position model. Lineage: Eukaryota; Fungi. The record is from RNAcentral.